AUGUUCGCUUAGGCAGCACAUACACUAAAAUUGGAAUGAUACAGAGAAGAUUAGCAUAGCCCUUGUGCAAGGAUGACACACAAAUUCGUGAAGCAUUCCAUAUUUUU
This 107-nucleotide small nuclear RNA is filed under the name Dipodomys ordii (Ord's kangaroo rat). The record is from RNAcentral. Lineage: Eukaryota; Metazoa; Chordata; Mammalia; Rodentia; Heteromyidae.